CCUACGGGGGGCUGCAGUGGGGGAUAUUGCACAAUGGAGGAAACUCUGAUGCAGCGACGCCGCGUGAGGGAAGACGGUCUUCGGAUUGUAAACCUCUGUCUUUGGGGAAGAAAAUGACGGUACCCAAAGAUGAAGCUCCGUCUAACUACGUGCCAGCAGCCGCGGUAAAACGUAGGGAGCGAGCGUUGUCCGGAUUUACUGGGUGAAAGGGGAGCGUAGGCGGGCGAGAAAGUUGAAUGUUAAACCUACCGGCUAAACUGGUAGCUGCGUUCAAAACUUUUUGUCUUGAGUGAAGUAGAGGCAGGCGGAAUUCCUAGUGUAGCGGUGAAAUGCGUAGAGAUUAGGAGGAACACCAGUGGCGAAGGCAGCCUGCUGGGCUUUAACUGACGCUGAGGCUCGAAAGCGUGGGGAGCAAACAGGAUUAGAUACCCUAGUAGUC
Molecule: ribosomal RNA, 439 nt
Filed under: uncultured bacterium
Lineage: Bacteria
Description: partial 16S ribosomal RNA
Rfam family: Bacterial small subunit ribosomal RNA
Source: RNAcentral